CUGAGUCACCGACAAGAAAGCCAAAGCUACUAAGAGGUAAUAAUUUACCCUGUGGUUCCGCGAACGGGUUCGGUUGUUGCGACGCGGCGCCCCCUGGAGUGGCGGAGGUGUUACUGCAACGAGGCCGCUCGUCGGCGCGGCAUCAUCAGAGACCCCCCAGAGACAGGCUCUUCUAAAGUGAAGAAAAACUGUAAUCACACGUUUUUUUGUGUCUUUUUAUGACGCAUAUUGGUUUUUGUGCUUAGCACUUCUUCCUCACAGGUCCAAGGCUGAUGGUUAAAAAUGAGCCCCUUCGUUUGCGUUGUAGUUUGUAGGGGCUUUCUUCGGGGUCUCUCGCCUGCUCAGUCCUAACGCUGUAAAGCGUGGUUAUUGCAAAAGAGAACCGAGUCUCAACUGGCUCACGUAAAGAUUUUUCUGAGAACUCGGAGAUGGAACUCUCACAAACAAAGAGAGGUGCGCAACGGGAUUGCCGUAUGUUGAAUUUUAGUUAUGAUUGUCACCUUUUAGGGAAUGAUUUACAGUGAUUGUUCAGUUUCUGCUUACCAGGAGCACGUGUCUUACCUACUUUACUGUUCAGACACUUAUUUAUAAAUCUUUAUAUUGUUCCAAGGCAACUAGUAUCACACUUUCUCCAAGUUCCAGCAGCACCGAGGGUUUUGUGCCCCAACUAUUAAAGAAACUAGGCUUUGUGUGAGAACAUCCUUAUGGGUAAUAAAGAGAGGGAGAAAAUCAGAAAGACAGAAUGUGAAACCAAAAUGAAAGUCAGUCCAAAGCAUUUUUAACAUGAACAGGGAUGUAGAGUAUGAUCAUAUUGCGGUUUUCCUUGAGUAAAACACUGGUUUACCCCCCCCCCACCCCCAAGCAACCCCACCCCAGGGAGCAGUUUAACCGAUUUCCACGAGUCUCCAGUGUAAGGGAAGCCCACAAUACGCAGACAGCAAAGAUGUGCAAUGGGAUCAUUAUAUGAAGCCAUCACCAGCAGCCUGGUCUUCUGCGAUAUUCCAAGCAGGAGCCCGAGUUUCAAGAGCCCAUUGAGGAGUCCACCAUCCCUGAGGUGGCCUGCAGCAUCAAUGCAGCGUACAGACCUCUUUACUGUGUCUGUACCAUGUUUCGAUGUGCGACUCGCUCUGAACACACUAUUCUUUUCUGUACGUGUAACAGUCAAAGGCAUCUUAUUGAGGACAGUCUUGAGGCCACAGUGUCACCGUACUGUUCCAUGGCCACAUUUCGGAGCACCGUGCAAAGAGAUGGUCUGUUACAGGUCUGUUGUUCUUGUGGUUUCCUCAAUAGCUCUCAACAGCUCUGGCUGAAACCACGGGGAGGAAAAUCACGCUCUCAAAGUACAUCUAUCAUUCUUGGACGAUUCCAGCUUUGUUCCUUUUCAAAUUUCAUUCCUGGACUACUUUAAUGAUAUCCUUCCAAGAACAUGAAUAAAACAAAAGGUACAAGCGACGUGUCA
RNAcentral lists this long non-coding RNA (1459 nucleotides) under Scleropages formosus (Asian bonytongue). RNAcentral describes it as "lncRNA (ENSSFOG00015032271.1)". Lineage: Eukaryota; Metazoa; Chordata; Actinopteri; Osteoglossiformes; Osteoglossidae. The record is from RNAcentral.